GAGUUUGAUCCUGGCUCAGGAUGAACGCUGGCGGCGUGCUUGAGAUAUGCAAGUCAAACGGUCCCGACUUUGUCGGGAUAGUGGCAGACGGCUGAGUAAAAUACAGGGACCUACCCUGGGGAGGCGAAUAACUGUUUGAAAAAACGGGUAAUACGCCGUACGCCCCGACGUCAUGUCGGGGGAAAGGGAGUAACUUCUCGCCCUAGGACGGACCUGUAUCCUAUCAGGUAGUUGGUAAGAUAAUAGCCUACCAAGCCUAUGACGGGUAGCUGACCUUAGAGGGUGGUCAGCCAGAGGGGUACUGAGACACGGACCCCACUCCUACGGGAGGCAGCAAUCAGGAAUAGUUGGCAAUGGGCGAAAGCCUGACCACGCGACGCCGCGUGCGGGAAUAAGUUCAAAUCGAACGUAAACCGCUGUGGCAGGGGAUAAAAUCUCGAUUUAAUCGGGACUGAUAGUACCCUGCUAGAAAGAGGCCGCUAACUACGUGCCAGAAGCGUCGGUAAGACGUAGGCCUCGAGCGUUAUCCGGUGUCACUGGGUGUAAAAGGUCGCGUAGGCGGUUUGGUAAGUUAUUCUUUAAAUAUCCUUGCUUAACAAGGAAAAAGGGGAUAAUACUACUAGACUAGAAAUUCUUCAAAGGAGACUGGAAUUUAGGGAGGAGGGGUGAAAUCUGUUGAUACCCUAAAGAACACCAGUGGCGAAGGCGAGUCUCUAGAAGAACUUUGACGCUGAGGCACUAAAGCUAGGGUAGCAAACCGGAUUAGAGACCCGGGUAGUCCUAGCCCUAAACCAUGCUUGCUAGCUGCAUUCGUCUGAAUCUUUUAGGUCUGGAGGAUGCGGAACUUUAAAUCCAAAAUUCCGAAUCUGAAAAAUUCAGACGGGUGUGGCGUAGGUAACCCGUUAAGCAAGCUACCUGGGGAGUACGACCGCAAGGUUAAAACUCAAAGGAAUUGGCGGGGAGGCACACAACCAGUGGAACAUGUGGUUUAAUUCGAGACAAACCGAAGAACCUCACCAGGGUUUGACAUGCCGAUAAAAUCCCAAUGAAAGUUGGGACCUCCGCAAGGAUAUCGGCACAGGUGCUGCAUGGCUGUCGUCAGCUCGUUCCGUGAGGAGUACCCUUAAGUGGGACAACGAGCGCAACCCCUGUUCCGAGUUAAAUAUGUCUCGGAAGACAGUCCUGACUCAGUCGGGAAGGAAGGAAGGGCAGACGUCAAGUCAGCAUGGCCCUUAUACCCUGGGCUACACACAUGUUACAAUGGAUAUGACAAAGGGUUGCUAGCCGGCAACGGUAUGCUAAUCCCUUAAACGUAUCCUUAGUGGGGAUUGGGGUCUGCAACUCGACCCCAUGAACGUGGAAUUGGUAGUAAUCGCGGAUCAGCUAUGCCGCGGUGAAUACGUUCUUGCCUCUUGCACAC
RNAcentral lists this ribosomal RNA (1420 nucleotides) under uncultured bacterium. RNAcentral's name for it is "bacterial SSU rRNA". It matches the Rfam family "Bacterial small subunit ribosomal RNA". The record is from RNAcentral.